This 251-nucleotide ribosomal RNA is filed under the name uncultured bacterium. Its description in RNAcentral is "partial 16S ribosomal RNA". It matches the Rfam family "Bacterial small subunit ribosomal RNA", at positions 82 to 334 of the family's 1533-position model. The record is from RNAcentral.
UUUAGUAUGGCGACCGGCGCACGGGUGAGUAACACGUAUCCAACCUGCCGAUGACUCGGGGAUAGCCUUUCGAAAGAAAGAUUAAUACCCGAUGGCAUAGUUCUUCCGCAUGGUAGAACUAUUAAAGAAUUUCGGUCAUCGAUGGGGAUGCGUUCCAUUAGGUUGUUGGCGGGGUAACGGCCCACCUAGUCAACGAUGGAUAGGGGUUCUGAGAGGAAGGUCCCCCACAUUGGAACUGAGACACGGUCCAA